Molecule: long non-coding RNA, 1582 nt
Organism: Mauremys mutica (yellowpond turtle)
Lineage: Eukaryota; Metazoa; Chordata; Testudines; Geoemydidae
Exons: 3
Source: RefSeq, a predicted model, not a curated record
CUGAGGUUUGAUUUGUGCAGGGGAAGCCUCGCGCUGCUGCUGGCCCGGCCUGGCAUCGCCACACGGGCGCGGCGCUGGACCAUGUGCGGCGGCUGGUGCGUGCACGCCUGACAUUGGGGCGGUGCUGCACCUGCGCUGGCUGGUACCCAGUGAGCUGCUGCUGGCUGCACUGCUGGGCACGCUCUUCUGGCACAGCCAGGGCUUCCACGUGCCUGCCCGGCUGCCUUCACCGCCGCCAGUAUCACCCCCUGUGCAUGCCUAGGAGCCCUGCGGCCCACCCCCGUGCUUUAAAAUUGUUCCCUUAGCCCCCUGCAGAAGGUCUGAGUGGAAGUGUCAGUUGUGAAUUAUAAAGAACAAGGUACAGGGCAUAGCCUCCAGCAGAGAACACCCUGCAAGCCAAUAGAUAAUCAGUCAUGAUUUCAAACACCUCCAUGUGUGUCCUGACUUCCCAUCUGACCACAUCUUCUUACCUUUUCCUUUGUCCAACCUCUUUCCCUUCCCCUCCCCGUGUUAGCUCCUGCUCUUUACUUACAUUUGAGUAGGGAAUCUGACUCUGUGUCUACCUGGCUUUGGACUUAAUGUUUCUUUUGGAGGUUUUUCUACAGAGUGGCUUCCCCUCAAUGUCUCGCUGCAGUUGUUCCAGGGCUGCCACCGGAUAGAGGGAUCCACCUGUUAAGGUCGCUGCAGCUGUGCUUUAAAAUAGGAAAUUGACAGGUCAAGCUCCCUGCGCCAGCGGCAAGGAGGACAAGGGUGACACAACAGGAUCCCCCUAUGCUCGCGUGAGGGCUGCUUUGCGCUGGUGGCGUGGCACACAGAGUCUGCACUGCAAAACCUGGGCCAUUGAGUCUAAACCAGUUACUGAUCCGUGAGAGGACCUUCCCUGUUAUCCAUGACUGCUUAGUUUACUUAAGAGCACUGGUGAAGACCCUUGUCAAAGGCUUUCUGAAAGCCCAAGAACACUAGAUCCCCCUGGAUCACCCUUCUCCAAAUGCUUUUUGACCUUCCCUCGGAGAAUUCUAAUAGAUUGACGAGGCAUGAUUUCCCUUUACAAAAGCUGUGUUGACUCUUCCCUAACAUACUGUGUUCAUCUAUAGGUUUGAUAAUUCUGUUCUUCACUAUAGUUUCAACCAAUUUGCCUGCUACUGAAGUUAUGCUCACCGGCCUGUAAUUGCGGGGAUCCCCUCUGGAACACUUGUUAAAAACUGGAGUCACAUUAGCUAUCCUCCUGAUAGAGGCUGAUUUAAGCGAUGGGUUACUGUGAAAGUAGAAUGAAUUAUAUUGUAAAAAUAGAAAGGAUUAAAGAAAUGCUGGAUGUACCUUUUAAGCAGAAAUGAGGAAUGUUCAAAUACAGGUAUCAGGAAAAGAAACAUUAAGGCAUAAACAAUGAGUCCACAUAAGCUAAUGGUGAAACAUUAACCAGAGAUUGGUAAAAGUUAGUAAGAAAAUUAACUAUGUAUGUCUAGCCUCAGGUAAACUUGUCAGUUCUGUUCCCUUUGUUAUCUUGCCAAGUUUACACCCUUUUUAUCUGUAUAAAAUAAGGUAGUGUGGGCCUUGCAUGGUGCUCACAUUAUCUGGGUGUUGU